Molecule: unclassified non-coding RNA, 358 nt
Filed under: soil metagenome
Description: partial contains 5.8S ribosomal RNA, internal transcribed spacer 2, and large subunit ribosomal RNA
Rfam family: 5.8S ribosomal RNA (bases 1-120)
Source: RNAcentral
GAUGAAGAACGUAGCGAAAUGCGAAAAGUAGUGUGAAUUGCAGAAUUCAGUGAAUCAUCGAAUCUUUGAACGCACAUUGCGCCCGUCAGUAUUCUGGCGGGCAUGCCUGUUCGAGCGUCAUUACGCCCCUCAAGUCCCCUGUGGACUUGGUGUUGGGGAUCGGCGAGGCUGGUUUUCCAGCACAGCCGUCCCUUAAAUUAAUUGGCGGUCUCGCCGUGGCCCUCCUCUGCGCAGUAGUAAAACACUCGCAACAGGAGCCCGGCGCGGUCCACUGCCGUAAAACCCCCCAACUUUUUAUAGUUGACCUCGAAUCAGGUAGGACUACCCGCUGAACUUAAGCAUAUCAAUAAGCGGAGGA